RNAcentral lists this unclassified non-coding RNA (283 nucleotides) under Hevea brasiliensis (rubber tree). Lineage: Eukaryota; Viridiplantae; Streptophyta; Magnoliopsida; Malpighiales; Euphorbiaceae. The record is from RNAcentral.
GGAAAUAUAUUGCAUAAACGUCAGUGAGGGAAAUCAUUCAAAAGCAGAGGCUUUAACGGCCAAGGGGGAGAAAUAAACCAGUAAUUUGCAUGCAAAAGACCUAAAUUUUUCUUUGCCAUCCAAUCAGCUACUUGAUUGGCUGAUCUUCUCACAAGACUAAUGGAAUACAAGCGAUUAGGCUAUUUUUGUUCGUGCUGCAUAAUCAACCAUGUGGGCCACGAAUACUGGGACUAGGAGUGGCUUUAUUAGCUAGUAGUUUUCUUCGCAUGACAAUUUCACUGUC